GCAAUUUUGCUUUCAAGAACAUCUGCACUUAUUGCCUAUAAAUGGUGGUUUGGCCCAGCGGUUAAGAGGACUUUCUUGCUGCACUUUCAGAGGAUGAGAGUUCAGUUCCCUGAACCCACAAAAGAUUUGGAGGCUAGAAGUCAAAAAUCAAAGAAUUAGCAAGCCAUGCUUUCUGUCUUUAGGAAAGAAUCUUUGCCCUUUCCAGCUUCUGACAGGUGACUAAAUUCCAUGACCUGUGGAGCAGUACAUUGAUCUCCAUCUCCACCGCCAUCUCCUCUGUGCAUGUGUAUCACCUUUGUCGGGUUGACAUGACAGUUAAAACAGAAUGUCUGCGAGAGAAAUUGGUGGCAGCAGCCUUUAUCACCAGCAAGGUUUAGCGACAUUCAAACUGGCCGAACAAAAUGGGAUUAGAGCCCAAGGCCCUUAGUAGGAUCCUUAUACCUGGGCAUACGCCAGUGAUGAUCAGUGGUCCAGAGCAGCUGUACAGAGCUCUUUGGGGCACAGAGCAUUUGGAGGUGACAUGGGGAUAGAAUUCUACUUUCUACAGCAGGUUCCCAGAGACCAGUGCCACCAUAGUGGAUCGACUAAGCAAAUAACAGCCACAGCAGCAGCUUGCAUUCAACAGCAACCCCUGGGAGCCAGAAGAAGAAGAGUAAGACACAGCACACAUGUUACCUCUCAUCUUUACAACCACUCCAAACCAUCAGCCUCAGAGCUCAGGAAACAACACACAAGGGGGAGUAGCCUGUUCCGAUGGCAUCUGUGCCCAUGCACACACAGGUGGUGUCUAAGAAUCGGCCUACGGGCGUUGGACUCAAAAGCCCAAGUUCUUUUCUUUACUAGAGCAUGCAGACUAUUGGGUAAUGAUUCCCUCACAUACAAAAAAAAAAAAAAAAAAAAAAAAAA
Molecule: long non-coding RNA, 906 nt
Organism: Mastomys coucha (southern multimammate mouse)
Lineage: Eukaryota; Metazoa; Chordata; Mammalia; Rodentia; Muridae
Exons: 3
Source: RefSeq, a predicted model, not a curated record